This 446-nucleotide ribosomal RNA is filed under the name uncultured bacterium. Its description in RNAcentral is "bacterial SSU rRNA". It matches the Rfam family "Bacterial small subunit ribosomal RNA", at positions 329 to 792 of the family's 1533-position model. The record is from RNAcentral.
UGCCAGACUCCUACGGGAGGCAGCAGUGGGGAAUAUUGCACAAUGGGGGAAACCCUGAUGCAGCGACGCCGCGUGAGUGAAGAAGUAAUUCGUUAUGUAAAGCUCUAUCAGCAGGGAAGAAAAUGACGGUACCUGAGUAAGAAGCCCCGGCUAACUACGUGCCAGCAGCCGCGGUAAUACGUAGGGGGCAAGCGUUAUCCGGAUUUACUGGGUGUAAAGGGAGCGUAGGCGGCCACGCAAGUCAGAAGUGAAGACCCGGGGCUCAACCCUGGGAGUGCUUUUGAAACUGUGCGGCUAGAGUGUAGGAGGGGUAAGUGGAAUUCCUAGUGUAGCGGUGAAAUGCGUAGAUAUUAGGAGGAACACCAGUGGCGAAGGCGGCUUACUGGACGAUGACUGACGCUGAGGCUCGAAAGCGUGGGGAGCAAACAGGAUUAGAUACCCGCGUA